Nilaparvata lugens (brown planthopper) is the source of this 387-nucleotide long non-coding RNA. RefSeq lists it as uncharacterized. The record is from RefSeq and is a predicted model, not a curated record. The transcript is spliced from 3 exons. NCBI's taxonomy places the organism in Eukaryota, Metazoa, Arthropoda, Insecta, Hemiptera, Delphacidae.
AGAAAUCUUUUGUAUCAAUACCGCAAGAGGUGGGGCAGCCCAUGCAUGCAUCAUCGCCUCAACACAUGCAUGCAUGAUUAACAUACAACAGUAGUUCCAAAUUGUUAUACCUAAACAAACUCUAUCUAAUUCUUAACUCCGUCCCAGGUGGUGUUGCAUCAGCAUUUUCUUAUAAAGAUAUAUAGGUUAAAAAAAUAAUAACUGCUUUAGGCGUUUAUAUCUGACAUUGUUAAUUUGAUGUUCCAAUAGUGUGAUAUAGCUCUGUGCACAUUCUAAAUUUAUUUCACUAAAAUAUUUUGGCAAAACCAACAGAACAAAAUAAGAAGUAUUUUUAUAGCCGCAAUAUACUUCCGCUGUAUAAACUAGCCUACUUUGUUCCAUGCUCAG